Long non-coding RNA from Drosophila elegans, 691 nucleotides. RefSeq lists it as uncharacterized. The transcript is spliced from 3 exons. Lineage: Eukaryota; Metazoa; Arthropoda; Insecta; Diptera; Drosophilidae. The record is from RefSeq and is a predicted model, not a curated record.
UGCUUUUCGAAUCAGUUUUCGUCAACACGUAAGCAAGGGAACACCUUCGAUUCUCCAUAAAUUUUUCGGUAGUGUGUAAAAUUUCAAGUUUUCAAUUGGCAAGUGGCAAGUUGCAUGUGAACUAGACGGAAAAAUAACAAACGCAAUUGAAUAUGUCCUUUAGCAAGUCAGAAGAAGUGGGCGGAAUCCAUAACAUGAGUAACAGAUCGUUGGUAAAGAAUGGAUUUUUUAAUUAUUUGCGCGGCUUCUGUCAACGCAAUAGUGCCCUGAGCUGACCGGAAAUCGCAAGGGAGAGGCGAUGGCCUGCAGGGUGGCCACCAGUCCGCGUCAUAAGCGUCGUCGUGUUUGCAAUAUGCACUGAAAUUCCCUCGAUCGAUCGAGUCAUGCCAUAAAAUCCAUAGAAGUCCACGUUUCCUGUUUGAUGAAUUGAUCAUGCGACUUCUGUCUGCAGUUCGAGAUAAUUUUUAUCUAAGAUUUAUAGCCAUGGGAUAUGCCAAUUAUGUAACUAUUCUGUUUUGCUUAACUUAAAUAAUUGUUUUAUUAAACAAUUUGAUUAUUUUUUGUGGAACAGAAAGCAGUUAGGGUUGAGGCUUUUGAAGUAUGCUUUAAUAAAAUAUACUUUUGAUGGCUUUAGAAUAUGUAGAAUGGUUCAAAGGCAUGUCAUAAAAAAUAAAUCAGUGAAAACAAACAA